CUGGGUGGCUCAGUGGGUUGAGCGUCUGACUUCAGCUCAGGUCACGAUCUCACAGUUCGUGAGUUCGAACCCCACAUCCAGA
RNAcentral lists this transfer RNA (82 nucleotides) under Felis catus (domestic cat). It matches the Rfam family "tRNA". From Rfam's summary of the family: Transfer RNA (tRNA) molecules are approximately 80 nucleotides in length. Their secondary structure includes four short double-helical elements and three loops (D, anti-codon, and T loops). Lineage: Eukaryota; Metazoa; Chordata; Mammalia; Carnivora; Felidae. The record is from Rfam by way of RNAcentral.